Molecule: unclassified non-coding RNA, 4949 nt
Filed under: Leguminivora glycinivorella
Lineage: Eukaryota; Metazoa; Arthropoda; Insecta; Lepidoptera; Tortricidae
Description: uncharacterized LOC125239818, transcript variant X2
Source: RNAcentral
UAGCACAAACCACACUAGUGGAUACUGGUAAAGAUGGUGAUAAACAUACUGAAACAUUAUUAGAAAGUCUUCAAAGAAAACUUGCAUCCCAGCAAAGAGUUCCACAACAUUUACUUAUUGAUGAUGCAGAACAACAAAAUGAGGCAUCUGUCGAUGAGGCCGCUAAAGCAAAAGCGGAUAAGAAAGACCAGUUUUCAAAAGAUGAUUCGCUGCAAAUAGACAACGUUUGGCGAUUUGCACCCAUACAUGAUAGUGAUGUGACCAAAGACGACCAACUUCUCCAGAAACCCGAACUUAUUCGUCAAAAUCAUGAUAUCAUUUUUGAUCCAGCCACGCGUCCCGCAAAUAUCCGUCACCGAUACGAGAUAGAUUCCUUUGAUGAACUAGCAAAAAAUUAUUUAUCAAUGGAUAUAGAUGAAGUUGACAAGCGGCUCUUACAAGAUAUGGAGCGUAUGGGUUUACCCAUUAACACAAGCGAAGCUAUGAGUCCAAAUAUCAACGUCUCUUGUGAAAAGGAAGAUAACAGUGAAAAGCUUUCGUCGAAGCCUGUCGAGUCUCAACAGAAAAAGGCGACUGUAAGCAAUCCACAUUACUAUGACAAAAAACACUGGUGCAAUCUUUAUUUUAAAGAUUUAUCUGAAGUUCCAGAGGAAGAUGUCCAUGAAAAUUAUAAUGUUUUUGCACCUGACAGGACGUUCCACUAUGACAUGCUACCUUUACAUUUCGUAGAUUACGAUCCGUUUUAUAAAAGCAGUAAAAUUAAUAAACCCCUCCAGAAAUUCGGAUUUGAAGAACAUGAUGAUAUGUUACCAUUUCAUCUAUUCAAUUGCCAGGAUUUCACCCAACUAGAUUUGAGAGUCGGUAAUGAUUGUAAGAUUUAUUCCGCCAUUGAGAACAUAAAGGUUGAUGAAACUCAGCCAAGUCACUUUGCCCUUCAAGGAAACUUGAAUAAUGAGGUUAAUUCUGCUUUGAAUGCUAUUGAACAACUGGAACAGUAUGAUUUUUGUACAUCAUCCUUCGAGGAAUUACUCUAUGGAGAUGAAAGAGAACCAAAACCUGAAAUGAGUGAAACUGGAAUAUUUCAGACUUUACUAUAUGAGGACAGGGACAUUACAAAUUUUGAUUAUACUUUUCCAUGCUAUAGUACAAAUGCUGAAGUCCCAUUAAGUAAUCAACAUAAACUAAAAACGGUAACAGACAAAGCACAGGGGUCUAAGCCAAUUAGACAAAUUGAACAAAAAACAAUGCCGGUAGAAGAAUUAAUAAAGGAGAAAGAACACGUAGUAAAGCCACUGCCUCGCAUAAGUCUGUCAAAACCAAAAGAUGCUGAAAAAUCUGAUGCAAUAGAAACUAUAGAACAGAAAGUUGAACAAAAUCAUAUUAUAAAUUCGAACGUUAUGGAACAGGUUAAAUCAUAUACUCCGGAAAACAUAACACAACCCAAAGAAACUCUUGACAGACUUGUACAAGUUCAUCCUCAAACAAUGCCUCAAGAAAACGUUAAAAAACCAAAUUCCGCUAAUAACAUGAUGGAUGUACUAAAGAACACGCCAACGGAAUACGAAAUAUCUGAGACAAUUAUACAAAGUCCACAGGAGCCAAACCCCAAAACUGUUCAUUUAAGUAAUUUUAUAAAUGCCAGUGUUAUGAAACAAGUUGGUGCACAUACUGUUCCAAAUAAUACAACAAACCCCAAUGAAAGAUUUCACAGACUUAAUUCUCAGUCGCUCCCAAAUCCCGAAUUAAUGUCUCAGGAUAACAUCGUGAAACCAAAUGUUGCGGAGCAGCUGAAGGAUGUACUACAAAACGUGCAAAAAGCAACGAAAAGCAAUAAACCUGGUACGGUACCACAUAACACACCAGAUCCCAAUAAUAAGGAAGUUGAAUUAAGGGUUUUUAUAAAUGCUAAAGUUAUGGAACAAAUUGGUGCACGUAUUGCUUCGAAAAACACGCCACAAGCCCGUGAAGGAUUUGAGAGUCUUGUACAAAUGAAUCCUCAUUCACCUGCAAAUAACUUCGCCUUAAACAACACGCCGCAACCGCGGGAAGGGUUUGAGAGACUUGUAAAAAUGAAUCCUCAAUCGCCUGCAAAUAACCUCACCUCAAACAACACGCCACAACCGCGAGAAGGGUUUGAGAGACUUGUACAAAUGAAUCCCCAAUCACCGGAAAAUAACUCCCUAUUUGUACACAUGAAUCCCCAAUCACCUGUAAAUAAUUCGCCACUUGUACAAAUGAAUCCCCAACCACCUGCAAAUAAUUCCCCCUUAAACAUAAUACAUGACAAGAUAAUGGAACAAGUCCGAGCACCGCCACCUAAGUUGAAACACACAACAGAUUCGGUUAAGGGUAUCCACUCCGUUGUUCAAAUGCAGCCUCAAGCAGCACCUGAAACUAAUCGUAAUCCGCCAAAAGCGACAUUCAAUGAGCCUUUGAAGGAAACAAUGAUAUAUGACCAUCCACCUUAUCAAGAGACUGCAACGCAUGAAAAUACUCACGAAACGUUUGAAUCCCUGGCGGUACAAAAGCCUAAACAGCUAAAUAUAAACAAUGAGGCUGUGGUGCCGAUUGACACACUUGUACAAGCGGAGAAAACGCGGCAGCCGUCCCGAGGAACUGAAACCAUGGUACAAAGCUGCGUACAGACGACAUCGACACCUACCGAAGAUGACGAUACAGCAAAUAAACUCAAGCUAGAUUUGAAUUUAUCACUUUCAGAGCUCCUUAGACGCGUUCGGGCGCGUAAUCGCUUACAAUAUCUCAGAGAAAUAAAAGAACAAUUUGAAAGCAUGUCAGUAUUGUAUGCGGAGGAGAAAAGGUGUCCUCCGAGCGACAGGCCGCAAUGCCCACCGCCGCCUGAAUGCUCCAAGCCCUGUCCACCGCCACCGAAAUCCCCAUGUCCACCGCCAAAGAAACAACCCGUAUGCCCGCCGCCAAAGAAACAACCCGUAUGCCCGCCGGCACCGAAAUGUCCUCCAGAGCCACCUAAAUGUCCACCUCCUAAAGUACCGCCUAAAUGUCCACCUGAUCCACCUAAAUGUCCACCGGAUCCACCCAAGUGUCCUCCAGAACCGAAAUGUCCGUGCCCUUGUCCUCCACCACCGAAAUGCCCCCCUGCACCGCCUAAAUGCCCAUGUCAAUCUACUGACUUUGAUGAACCUGUAGCUAUACCUUACCUGAACCUUUUUGACACUGGUACUGGUUAUUUGAGGUCUGUAAUAGAGUUAGUAAAAAAAGGCUUUCUGGAAUCGAAAAACAUGCUUUUCCCUGGCAUGACGAGGGAGACGGAUAGGCCUUAUGGGUUGAAACUGAAUAGAAUAAAGGAUUUCGAGCCGUGGACGCCGGUUCCGUCGUGGCCGUUCCCCGUGGAGCACAAGAAGAGGAAACUGCAGUGUCCGUACCACGGCUGCCCAUACCCGAAGCCCGGCCCAGUCCGACCUAACUGCCCUGAGCUCCCUUGCACUGGUUUCCCGAAACGCCUGACUUGUUCUGACACUGAUAUUCGGCAAGAUUCAAGAGAGACGAUUAACAUAUUAUGAUGUAUCUACUAAAUUGGCGUUAUAAUUAAGCAGUGCAUAAAGCUACCCGAGGAUUUUGCAAGACCGACUGGACGAAACCAAGGCACCUAAACAAGCCGUAUACCGAGCAUCGCAGCGAUUUGCCGUUGGUCGUUCAAAACAACCCAGGGCAAAAAUCCGUUCGGUACGGCGAGCUAUGGAAAGCAUGGUUUGCCAUAGAAUAUGAACUCAUCAACUCCAUUGCGAAAAACGGCAAAGUUACAGCACCGUUCCUGUUUGACUAUAACCGAAACGACGGCAUAAAAACCUACACAAAUAUAGAAAAGAAAGACGAUGUUUCGAAAGAUGAAGGCGCGAAUAAAGAUGAAGGCAUAAAUAGACGACACGUAGAUGCGAUACUACGGACAUAUUCUGAAUUGCAAGCGUACUCUUCACCAAUGGUCAAAAAAUCUGGCUUUGUAAUGUUAGAAGAAAAAGGUCCGGAAGAUAUAUCUGCAGCUACGGUAAAUGUAACAACAAAGAAUGUGGAAGAUGAAAAGCUUGAACAGAAAUUAGAAUCAAUUGAAGAAGUACCGUUAGUCGAAGCUGAUCCCGAUAUCAUUAAACCGCCACAGACUUCAGGGCCCGUCGUGAUGAACAUGUCUAGUUCUGAUAUCGAGGAAUUUGCCAGGCAUUCAGACUUUCAGAUUAGCGAUGAGCCCGAUAGCGCGUCUAUUAUUCAUUACCAUUACCAAGUCGAUCGACAGAAGGAUACAAACUUCAUUAAGAAUUAUUUCGAAAAAGAUAGUUGCAGAAAGUCGAAUAUCACUGAUCUUAUCACUCUGAAUGCCGUCCCGGAAAUCAAGGACGAAGAGGAACUAUCUCUUAUGGAUUUAAUGCAAAGAGUUCGUCAAAAAAAUCGGUUGAUCCGCUGUCGCGAUAUAGAGUGUCAACUGAAUGCCUCCGCAACGGAUGAAAAUGUUAUGGCGGACAGGAACACCAAUUUCCCGCAGCAUCAGUUCCCUUACCAGCAACCUGGGUGGGCCUGGCCGACGCCAACGCCCUUUCCACAUCACCCACACAGGCAUCCGUCUCCAAUGUACCCUCACGUUGCAAGCCCGCAUCCUCGCAAGGCAGAGCCCAUAACCCCUGACAACCGCCCAGGAUAUAAUAGAGCGACUAAAGUAAAUCCUGUGACGCUGGCUCUAUAUCUCGGUCCUUUGGUUACAGCUUUUAGAAAUGCUAGUAUCUUAUUUCCUCUCCUGACAGCGAGUCUCAUCUCGAAGACUUCUAACAAAGACCCGGACAUUGAUAACAUUUGUGUGCUGCACUCCUGCUAUGAAAAAGAAUCGGGGACAGAGAAUUAGUUACUUACUCAAGCAUACUUAUGAUUAGACUAGACCUAUAAAUUAUUGUGUAAAUUAUUUAUUCAAUAAAAAUAGUAAUAAAUAA